UGGGGAAUUUUGGACAAUGGGCGAAAGCCCGAUCCAGCCAUGCCGCGUGAGUGAAGAAGGCCUUCGGGUUGUAAAGCUCUUUCAGACGGAAAGAAAUCUCUCAGGAUAAUACCUUGGGAGGAUGACGGUACCGUAAGAAGAAGCACCGGCUAACUACGUGCCAGCAGCCGCGGUAAUACGUAGGGUGCGAGCGUUAAUCGGAAUUACUGGGCGUAAAGCGUGGGCAGGCGGUGAUGUAAGACAGAUGUGAAAUCCCCGGGCUCAACCUGGGAACUGCGUUUGUGACUGCAUCACUCGAGGACGGCAGGGGGAGGUGGAAUUCCGCGUGUAGCAGUGAAAUGCGUAGAUAUGCGGAGGAACACCGAUGGCGAAGGCAAUCCCCUGGGCCUGUACUGACGCUCAUGCACGAAAGCGUGGGGAGCAAACA
Molecule: ribosomal RNA, 427 nt
Filed under: uncultured bacterium
Lineage: Bacteria
Description: bacterial SSU rRNA
Rfam family: Bacterial small subunit ribosomal RNA
Source: RNAcentral